This is a long non-coding RNA of Dermacentor albipictus, 319 nucleotides long. RefSeq lists it as uncharacterized. NCBI's taxonomy places the organism in Eukaryota, Metazoa, Arthropoda, Arachnida, Ixodida, Ixodidae. The record is from RefSeq and is a predicted model, not a curated record.
UGGUCCUCUCAUCUUGCAAGUUCAUCCUGGUCUCACCCUCACUCUUGAAAAAAGCUCUAUCGUAGCAAAUGAUCUGCAUUUUGUAACUUUGUCAAGUGAAGAAACUCACAAAUCUAUUCUAAAUGGAAAAGAACUGGAAAGAAACUUGUAUCACGAUACCACGCAUAUGUCAUCUCUUAUUGUGGAUCGGAUACAAGGCAGCGUGCAAGUGCGAGGAAUUCUCAAUAAUCACUUGAGAAUCGCUCCCAUCGAAGUUGCAAGCCGGUCCAGCAAUGAGAACACUCCUCAUGAAACCACUACAAUUGCAGAAAGCCCGACA